AGAGUUUGAUCAUGGCUCAGGAUGAACGCUAGCUACAGGCUUAACACAUGCAAGUCGAGGGGCAGCAUGUUGGUUGCUUGCAACCAACGAUGGCGACCGGCGCACGGGUGGGUAACGCGUAUCCAACCUACCCUUGUCCAUCGGAUAACCCGUCGAAAGGCGGCCUAACACGAUAUGCGGUUCACAGCAGGCAUCUAACGUGAACGAAAUGUGAAGGAGAAGGAUGGGGAUGCGUCUGAUUAGCUUGUUGGCGGGGUAACGGCCACCAAGGCUACGAUCAGUAGGGGUUCUGAGAGGAAGGUCCCCCANAUUGGAACUGAGACACGGUCCAAACUCCUAGGGAGGCA
Molecule: ribosomal RNA, 347 nt
Filed under: uncultured bacterium
Lineage: Bacteria
Description: bacterial SSU rRNA
Rfam family: Bacterial small subunit ribosomal RNA
Source: RNAcentral